RNAcentral lists this ribosomal RNA (472 nucleotides) under uncultured bacterium. Its description in RNAcentral is "bacterial SSU rRNA". It matches the Rfam family "Bacterial small subunit ribosomal RNA", at positions 355 to 825 of the family's 1533-position model. The record is from RNAcentral.
UGGGGAAUCUUGGACAAUGGGCGCAAGCCUGAUCCAGCCAUGCCGCGUGAGUGAAGAAGGCCUUCGGGUUGUAAAGCUCUUUUGUCAGGGAAGAAACGGUAGUAGCGAAUAACUAUUACUAAUGACGGUACCUGAAGAAUAAGCACCGGCUAACUACGUGCCAGCAGCCGCGGUAAUACGUAGGGUGCAAGCGUUAAUCGGAAUUACUGGGCGUAAAGCGUGCGCAGGCGGUUGUGUAAGUCAGAUGUGAAAUCCCCGGGCUCAACCUGGGAAUUGCAUUUGAGACUGCACGGCUAGAGUGUGUCAGAGGGGGGUAGAAUUCCACGUGUAGCAGUGAAAUGCGUAGAUAUGUGGAGGAAUACCGAUGGCGAAGGCAGCCCCCUGGGAUAACACUGACGCUCAUGCACGAAAGCGUGGGGAGCAAACAGGAUUAGAUACCCACGUAGUCCCUGAGCGGGCUGGCAAGGCGCAU